AUUGAACGCUGGCGGCAUGCCUUACACAUGCAAGUCGAACGGCAGCACGGGUGCUUGCACCUGGUGGCGAGUGGCGAACGGGUGAGUAAUACAUCGGAACAUGUCCUGUAGUGGGGGAUAGCCCGGCGAAAGCCGGAUUAAUACCGCAUACGAUCUACGGAUGAAAGCGGGGGACCUUCGGGCCUCGCGCUAUAGGGUUGGCCGAUGGCUGAUUAGCUAGUUGGUGGGGUAUAGGCCUACCAAGGCGACGAUCAGUAGCUGGUCUGAGAGGACGACCAGCCACACUGGGACUGAGACACGGCCCAGACUCCUACGGGAGGCAGCAGUGGGGAAUUUUGGACAAUGGGCGAAAGCCUGAUCCAGCAAUGCCGCGUGUGUGAAGAAGGCCUUCGGGUUGUAAAGCACUUUUGUCCGGAAAGAAAUCCUUGGCCCUAAUACGGUCGGGGGAUGACGGUACCGGAAGAAUAAGCACCGGCUAACUACGUG
Molecule: ribosomal RNA, 486 nt
Filed under: uncultured bacterium
Lineage: Bacteria
Description: partial 16S ribosomal RNA
Rfam family: Bacterial small subunit ribosomal RNA
Source: RNAcentral